CCUACGGGAGGCAGCAGUAGGGAAUCUUCGGCAAUGGACGAAAGUCUGACCGAGCAACGCCGCGUGAGUGAGGAAGGUUUUCGGAUCGUAAAACUCUGUUGGUAGAGAAGAACGUUGGUGAGAGUGGAAAGCUCAUCAAGUGACGGUAACUACCCAGAAAGGGACGGCUAACUACGUGCCAGCAGCCGCGGUAAU
RNAcentral lists this ribosomal RNA (195 nucleotides) under uncultured Lactococcus sp. RNAcentral's name for it is "partial 16S ribosomal RNA". It matches the Rfam family "Bacterial small subunit ribosomal RNA", at positions 338 to 524 of the family's 1533-position model. Lineage: Bacteria; Bacillati; Bacillota; Bacilli; Lactobacillales; Streptococcaceae. The record is from RNAcentral.